GUCCUUACGACCGGUAAACGUCGAAUGGAGUGUGAAGCCUCGCUUCUCCCUCUGCAGAUAUCCUCUGCAGGGUCUUCUGAAGCGGUCAAGAUGUCUUCAACAUGCCUGUUCCAGGUGAGAGUGAGACGAAGAGAGACGCCAGACAUCUGAGUGCUGACUGAGAAUCGAAUCCAGAUCCUAGAGGGCUUGGAUAAGCAAUGGAGGAAUCAGAGAGGAGGAAUGGAUUUGUUGUCACACCACCAUCCACCAUCCGCCAUCCAGCUCUUUGACCCGGAGAGUAAUGCAAAGAAAAGGAGACCCAGAUCAAUUUGAAUCGUUUCAAAGAAAGAGAAGCCGCUGUCUGGGCCCACAUGUGAAAGGCCAGGCUGGAUUAAGGUAUCAUCGUGAUGGUAUGCUGCCCUAUGGACAGACAGGCAGGAAGAAGACCUAAAUCCCUGUCUGGAGCAGAGCAAGGUCUCAAGCUGCUGUUGGAAUCAACCAAAUGAAAUGAGGUGACACGGGAGGAGAGCAUGAACUCCCUCUGUCAAAAAGCCUAAUGAUUUCUGCCUCGUGACCAUAAAGAGCUCACAAGCCCUCAAAUCGUGUUUCAGUUCUGCAAGCUUACUCCCCGCUACUGUAAGCAGCCACUAUCAGAAAAGGG
Long non-coding RNA from Gasterosteus aculeatus aculeatus (three-spined stickleback), 640 nucleotides. The record is from Ensembl. NCBI's taxonomy places the organism in Eukaryota, Metazoa, Chordata, Actinopteri, Perciformes, Gasterosteidae.